Molecule: ribosomal RNA, 254 nt
Filed under: uncultured bacterium
Lineage: Bacteria
Description: partial 16S ribosomal RNA
Rfam family: Bacterial small subunit ribosomal RNA
Source: RNAcentral
UACGUAGGAUGCGAGCGUUAAUCGGAAUUACUGGGCGUAAAGCGUGCGCAGGCGGUCUGUUAAGACCGAUGUGAAAUCCCCGGGCUUAACCUGGGAACUGCAUUGGUGACUGGCAGGCUUUGAGUGUGGCAGAGAGAGGUAGAAUUCCACGUGUAGCAGUGAAAUGCGUAGAGAUGUGGAGGAAUACCGAUGGCGAAGGCAGCCUCCUGGGCCAACACUGACGCUCAUGCACGAAAGCGUGGGGAGCAAACAGG